Quercus robur (English oak) is the source of this 2101-nucleotide long non-coding RNA. RefSeq lists it as uncharacterized. The record is from RefSeq and is a predicted model, not a curated record. The transcript is spliced from 7 exons. Lineage: Eukaryota; Viridiplantae; Streptophyta; Magnoliopsida; Fagales; Fagaceae.
UCCAUCGUUGGGAAAAUUAACCAAUCUCGAAUGGUUAGAUCUCUCCUCAAAUAAGCUCAUAGGUGAAAUUCCUAUACAAUUGACAGAUCUCACAUCACUGGAAAUUUUAAACCUAUCAGAAAACUAUCUUUCUGGACAGAUACCUCAAGGUAAACAGUUCAAUACCUUUAUGAAUGAUUCUUACAAUGGGAACCAAGGGUUAUGUGGAUUUCCAAUGACAAAAGCUUGUGGCAAUGAUGAGGGACACCAACCACCACCAUCAUCAACGAUUCAGGAAGAUGAUUUCAAAUUUGAAAAUGGGUUACAUUGGAAAGUUGUAUUGUUGGGUUACGGUGUUGGAUUCAUGUUCGGAUUAGGUUUGGGUUAUCUUGUGUUCUCAAGUGGAAAGCCAAUAUGGCUAGUGAAUAUUUUUUAUGGAGAACAAGGUAAUAAUGUACGAAGAUCCAAGAAGAAUGCUCGUGGACGAACUCAUUGAAGAAGAAUUUGGUGGAUGCAAAUACUGAUUCUAGGCUGGUGGCCCUUUCUAUCCGGUGUUAAUAGGAUUGAGGGACAACAUUCAUUCAUAUUUAACGAAGCACUAGCCGGCAUUCCACGACCAAAUGAUAACAUAACACUGACACUUCACCUUUUUGCCUUUAGAGGUAUUGAUGAAAGAUAAACAAUUAGUCUUCUAGUUUCUUAAUCAUCUGAAGAUGCACGUGACAUUGGGAAGGUUUGCUAUGAAUUCAUACAAAAAUGCCUCCCUUACCUCAAGGGGACAGGGCAGUCAAACCCAACUAUAGCUCCUGAUUUUCUCAUUGAGACAAAAAUGAGUGAGUCUGCAAUGGGGAUGUCAUAUUUGCAGGAAUUGUCAUCUUUGGUAUCAUUCGGGGUAGGUUUUGACACUCACGACUGUCAGAGCUUGUGAAAGGCGAGAGGACUCCUUUUUGCCGAUCAGAAAUUGAUAGCUAAUGAGAAGACUGCGAGAUUGGCAAGGGUUUAUGCGCCAGAUGAUGGAUCAAUCUUUCGAAUGGACUUUGCUUGGGCAAUGAUGAAGAUGUCAGGUCUUAAUGUUCUGGCUGGAUCUCAAGGUUAGGUCCGAAGAAACUGCUCCUUGGCUUAGGUCAGUUCCUAAGUGACAGUCUGACCAUAAUGAACUCUUGAGAUCUUUUUUCUUUCAUAAUGCCAAAGAGUAAGUGAUUGGUCUUUCAUGGGAACCUAAAUUUUUCACCAAGAGCCCAUAAUGGGUGUGAGAGCGAAUCUCAGAAUCAGAGUGAAAACAGUGCACUUUGGAGACCCAAUUCAGAGCUUGUUGAUGGGUUUUUCCUCUCCAGAAAGUUAAAACAAAUUUAAGAGAAAGCUUCUCAAAAAUACUGCUGGAAAAGCUUGGUUUGACUUGCUUGCACAAACCAUAACCCCUGAGAUUGAGAAAGAUUUGUGUUUACUGAAGAUCGAGAAUGGUGAUAGUGUCAACAUCAUACUUCUUCACAGUUAGACUAACGAGGAAAGAGAGAAAGGGAACAAUUGCAGCUGAGUUGUUAUCUAAUCGUACCGUUGCUGACUACAGUAAGAAGGAAAAAAAAAAAGGUUCAAUCCCAAUGUGUCCCAUAUGGGUUCAUUUCAUCUACAUAUGUGAAGGAAUUGAAGAAAAACAGGGAUUGCAGUGGCAGAGGAAUGCUUCUUAGAGUACUGAAACAGCUACAUACAGUUGGGUUUUAGCUGAUGCUUCUUGCAUCUUCUGCUUCUCGUUCUUCGACUUAUUCUUCUUCAUCCGUGAACUUGCCUAAAAUUCUAUCGGUUUUUUCCAUUUGGAGGCAGGAAUUGAGAGAGAACAAGAAUGACCGUGAACAGAGAAGUAGAAAAUGGGAAACUAAAUGAACUAGAUUAACCAGGCCAAACCCAGUGUAAUACCUUAAAAUUAGUUAACGACAUCAAAUUAACUAUUUUCCAUAUGUAAUUGCAACCUAGAGUUUUUAUUUUUAUUUUUAAAUGGAAUAGAAUUUCAACUCUAUUGUAAUCUUUCUCAUCAUCACGCUAAGAUACCAAAAAUGGAAAAGAUGUGGAUCUUUCCCUCAUGAUUAACUAAACAAUAUUAUGGAAAUCCAAUGAAUUAAUUACUUAA